Cynoglossus semilaevis (tongue sole) is the source of this 620-nucleotide long non-coding RNA. RefSeq lists it as uncharacterized. The transcript has 2 exons. Lineage: Eukaryota; Metazoa; Chordata; Actinopteri; Pleuronectiformes; Cynoglossidae. The record is from RefSeq and is a predicted model, not a curated record.
UUUUUUUUUUAGUUUUGAUUUUAGUUGUUUUUUUGUUUUUUUUAGUUUCGAUAACCAAACAGGGGAGGCACAGCAGCUGAGACCAUAAAAUGUCGACAUAUGGGACGGUGUAUUAAUCAGAGACUACACACUCCCAGCUGGAACUGUCACGUGUAAACUUGAGAAUGUGUUCUAGUGUGUUUACAUCUCAAUAAUGAUAAUGUAAUUCCCUCCAUCGUCUGUAGUGAUACUUGUAUUUGAUUGCUUGUUGAACACGUGUAUGUAGGUGAAAAAAACAAAAAUGCUUGAUUUCACAUAUUCAAAAAACUUGUAGCUCUAAUGUAAAUUUGGGCUUGAUCAGGUCUGCAAGAUUACUCACUGUAAAGUGCACAUAAUAUUUUAAAAUACCCUCUACUGUAGGUUUCAUUUUUGAGGUCACCAGGAAGCCACAGCUGCAGUUCGCUUAUCAUCCAGUAGGGUCUAACUGCAAAACCAAUGUUUCUCAUAGACGUUUACAUUUUUAAACAUCUUCUUUUGAUAAAAAGUUAAAAAAGAUAGUGCUUGUUUUUCCAUGAGGAUGAACUCGGAAAGUACUGGCAACCAGAAAACACAUUUAGAAGUGUUGACGUUUCAUGUAUUUA